UGGGGAAUAUUGGACAAUGGGGGCAACCCUGAUCCAGCAAUGCCGCGUGUGUGAAGAAGGCCUUCGGGUUGUAAAGCACUUUUAUCGGGAACGAAACAUUGUCGGCCAAUACCCGGCAAGACUGACGGUACCCGAGGAAUAAGCACCGGCUAACUCCGUGCCAGCAGCCGCGGUAAUACGGAGGGUGCAAGCGUUAAUCGGAAUUACUGGGCGUAAAGCGUGCGCAGGCGGUUUGUUAAGUCUGCUGUGAAAUCCCCGAGCUCAACUUGGGAAUUGCAGUGGAUACUGGCAAGCUGGAGUACGGUAGAGGACGGUGGAAUUCCCGGUGUAGCAGUGAAAUGCGUAGAGAUCGGGAGGAACACCAGUGGCGAAGGCGGCCUUCUGGACCAGUACUGACGCUCAUGCACGAAAGCGUGGGGAGCAAACA
Molecule: ribosomal RNA, 427 nt
Filed under: uncultured bacterium
Lineage: Bacteria
Description: bacterial SSU rRNA
Rfam family: Bacterial small subunit ribosomal RNA
Source: RNAcentral